CUCUUCUUCCUGACAGACUGAAGCUUCUCUUCUUUCGUCUUUUUCCUCCCUCAAGGAGACUUCCCGUCAUAUGAGUUCCGGGAGGAAACGAGCUACGGUGGCCGGCUGAGGUCUAAACUCCUUCGCGAAUUUAAGAGGAAAACUGGAACUUGUAUAAGUGCUGUAUGAAAGACUUUAUUAUAAAUUGUAAUGUACAUUUGGAGGAACAUUGUACUGAUGCCAUGGCACAGCUGUUGGUUUCCAAGGAGUCACUUUUUAAAAUGCAAAACUCAUUUCUCAAGGCCAGAAAAUGGAGAAAGGCCUUGCAAGAGCACAAGGACAGACCUGAAAGGUGCAACCAAAGAGGGCUGCCAGCUCUUCCCGCUGCUGCAGGAGCUGAGCCACGUCGUCUUGUAACUUCUUCUUCUCUUGCUGGAGCUUGAAGAUCUGGAGCUGCAAAGCCUGCUGGGCCCUCUGGGCCUUCUUGGAGACCUGUUGCAGUUUGUUGGCAUAGUUCUGGCGAAGGUCGUCCAUCUCCCGCUCCCAGAUCUUCUGCUUCUCCUCAAAGACCUGGUAAAUGGCCGCCUCGCUCUUGUCCAGGUUCCUCCUCAUCUGGAGGACCUCUUGCUCCUUCUCCCACAGCCGGUCCUCCAAGUCCUGGAUGAUGUCGUCCGUGGAAGGAGAGUGGAAAGGCAUCGUUUCAUUGAGAUGGUUGAGCCGACUGAAGGAAGAGGUGCUCUUGCUGGAAGACCGCCCGCUGUCUGAGGGUCCUGUGCGCCCAACCAGAGCAAAUAUGAAGAGUCGACUAUACUCGAGCUGCAAGGAGAGGCAGGUAAUAAAAUUAUUAUUAUUUUUAGUAGUAGUUGUUGUAGCAAUAGUACUCUGUCUACACAGUACUCUCAAUCUGCUUUGAUUCAGAUGUUUUCUAUAGGCUCUUCUGGGCAUCUUCAGCAUCCUUCUUUGGAAUUUUCUAAACAGAGGCUGGAUGGCCAUCUGUCAGGAGUGGUCAGUGUGGGUAUUUCUCUAUGGAACAAUGGGGUUGGACAGGAUGACUCUGGGGUUCUAUGGUUCUAAUUCACUAUGUAACACUAUUUUUGAUCCUGGGUUAUAAAUGUAAUUUCCAAAUUGGUUCUAUCAUAAAAACAUGGGAAAAGCACAUUUCACUCUAGUCUUUCAAUGUGUAUCUUAAAGAGUCUCAACCAAUUCAGCCUAGUUUGUGGCAGCCGUAGAAACAAAGUUUCCGGAGUAUAACAACUACCUUCAAAGUAAGUACCACACAAUUAAAUCAGAAAUAACACUUUCAAAACAGAAAAAUUUUCAGAUUUUGUUACAUAGUGUUAUUAUUAUGAUUAGCAAUUCGCUUCAUGGUAUCAGUCCUUUCUGCUAACUUUCCUAGAACUGAAAUGCAACACAAAAGUGUUCUAAAAUAAAUAAAUACAAAAUUAAAUGCCAACUUUGUGUCAAGAAGAGGGAAAUAGGGCCAACACUAUGCUGGAUAUUGCUUCUCCUGUGAACAUUUAUCCUUCUUUCAUUGUUGCACAAUUGCAAUACAAUUUUGGUGGGACAUUCGCUAACCAAGACAGAGGAAUCCCUUUCUUUUGGGGAGAUCAAUGGCACCUCACCUGGUCUAGUUUCCCAGAGAUUGGCAAUAUCUUUGGUGGGUUAUUGGGCUCUCUGUACUGGGGAGGUGGUGGGAUGUUCUUCUCAUUGUUGGCUGCCACGUUCCCGCAGAGAUCCGCCUUCACUUUCUCGCUCUUGCGCAGGUCCCCGUUGAUGUAGAUCUUCUCCGACUUGUAGGUCUUCUCCUCCCCAGAGUAGCGGUUGGUGAUCUCCCGUGGAAUGUAGCUGUUCCGGGACCCGUCCACCUGCCGCCCGCCGUUCUGAGUCCUGGUCCCUACGCUCUUCAUGGCAAAUUCCUGCUCGCCGGCGACGCCGCUGCCCACGCUUCCCAUGCUGCUUUGGGAGGCGGAUUCGGAGAGCCUGGGCUCGAAGGGGCGGAAGGCUUCUUGGCCGCGGUAGCUGGGGUCACUAAGGACAGAGAGGGCCUCUAGUUUGGCCAUGGCAAGGUCUGGAAGUUGAGGCACGAGUCAGUGGCACUGGAAGAGGAGGAGGGAAAGAAAGAAAAACAAAUGAGUAAAGCAAACAUUUCUCAUGUGCUUGCAGAUAGCUAAUUCUUCAGCCUUAUGUUGUAUUUACACUAUCAGAUUAUUGCAGUUUGACACCACUUUGAAUGGCAAAGAAGGCUAAAGAUCAUAUAAAACUAAAACUCCCAAUGAUCCCAUAGCACGGAGCCAUGGCAGUUCAAGGGGUGUCAAACUAUAUUAAUUUGACAGUGCAGACGCAGCCCCAGAGAAGCGAAGUGGCACCAGAGUUGAAGAGUAAAGAGCAUGACUGUAUUAGUGUUAGGGUUAUCAGAGUGGAAACUGGGGACAGCUUUUAUAUCUCUAAUAGUUGCGCAGAAGAGGGAAUUUCAGCAGGUGUAAUUUGUGAUCUGGCCGAAUUGCAAGCAACAGCUUCUGAAGAUGCCCUCUUCUACACAGCCAUCAAAAGUACUUGGGCCCUCCUUAGUUUCCAUCCUGGUAACCCUACUUAGGCUGGAUGGCGCCUACAUUGCUACUAUCUAUUAGCAUUUUACUAUGUUGCUUCAUUCCAGCCCUACAUUAGUUGAGUUUCUCAUGCUCAGGGCCACCCCAGGGUGCCUUCCACACUAUAUAAUUCUGUCACUAUGAUUCCACUUUGAACUGCCAUGACACCAUCGUAUGGAAUCCUAGGACUGUUUGGUGAGGCACUAUGGCUGACCAAAAAACCCUAACCCAAACUACAAAAUCCAUGAUUCCAUAUAAUGCCAUGGUGGUUAAAAUGGAAUCACAGCAAGUGUGUGGUAUAAAAGGGAAUUGGGUUGACCAAUCUCCCAUCUGAUAUAUCUAAGCAUGCAGGGAUUCACAGUUGAACUCUUUGUGUGCUCUGUUGUCUAUGACUCAUGUGUAACCCCAGUCUUCUCACCAUCUAGUAUUCCUCACAUUUCACUGAUGGGAGAAAUUUAAGAGUGGGAUUUUGGUGAUUUUUCGGGCGGAACGGGGAAUCCUAGCAGAGCGAAUCCUCCUAUUAGCUGGUGGCCACCGUCUCUCUUUCCCCAAUCCCAGGCAGCAUCCACGUGGAUUGUUAUUCUUAAAAGUGCCAAACUAUGUUGAUUGUAUUAUCCUUCAAAAGAGAUGGAUGCCACCAUGCCCAUUUGUUCCAACUGGAAAAGAUCAACGAGACAUGUCCUUUAUUCCUCAAAGACAACACAGGAUCCAACACUCAAGACUUCUCCUCAAACUGGACAAAAUAUCUCCGUCAUCUUUAGCUAAGUUUUAUGAUGGAGGCUGGAAUCACCAAUUGCUCUUUAGGACAAUUAGCACAUAAUGUCUUUUUAUUAAAAAGAAGAGGAGGAGGAUUGCAGAGGGUAAAGCUUCUCGUGUUUUGGUUUCUUCUAAUUUCUGUUUGUCUCGAAAACUGUAAGAUAGAGGCGAGAACUCAACAGUUGGGAAGUCACUUUUGAGAAGAAGAUUCCAUGCAAUGAUUGUUCCUCCAAAUCAACCCAAAUGUUUCAGCUGAAGUUUCCCAGGAGCGGUUUUUGUUGCAAAAUGUUAUUGGGGACACCAAAACAGCCAAAAGGUUCCAGAAAUGCCCCUCCACAAAGCAACAAGUAGUGAUAACGCAUCAUAUCCAGUCAUCCAGAAUGGCAGCAGCGUGGUCUGCCCAGGUACCCCAAAAUGUCUCUCCACAAGCUCUUGUUCAACCAUGGUGGCCUAUGGGGAUACAUUUGCCCUUCAGUCCCCCUCUCCCACCUUAUUCUCAUGCAUUUUCUCAUGCUCCCAACGACCAUUGCAACAUUAGUAUCUUACUAGGCAAAGCACCAUAAAAACCCCAGCUAACCUUCACGUACAGCCGCAUGUCACAACAAGUGCGCAACUACAAAGUCACUCAUACAGAACAACCACUUCCCCGUGCAACACACACCUAUCGUACGACAAACAUGCAUCUUCCAGGCAACUACAAAUGCAGCCAUACUCACAAACACAGACUUUACAGAGCAGAAACUUUCACUGUAAUAGUUCAAUACAAGUGCACUACCAUAUGCGCAAGACACCAAUGCCACUCUGACUACGCAUACCAGAUAAUAUCACAACGGUUAUGCUGAUAUUGUUCCCCCCUUCUCUUUCAUACUGAGCCUAGUUUGUAUGAAAUGUGCAAAGAAAGAGGAAAAAAGAACGGGAGUUCUUAAGAAACCCUAAACAAACAAUCACAACACAAACAAGGUUAAGACUGUAGAGAAGAUGUAAUGUUUUGUGACUCGUUUCAGGUAGGAAGCAAAGCAGCCUUUUUGAAGCCACUGGUCAACAUUUCAAAUCCUCAGGUAAGAUGGUAAACUCACUCCAAUUUUUAAUCUUGCAGCCGGUUGCUGCAGUUCCAGGUUUAUGAGUGCAACUAUACUGUUGAAUUAAUGCAGUUUGACACCACUUAGACUAUCAUGUCUCAAUGUUAUGAAAUCGUGGGUUUUGAAGUUUGGUGAUGCACCAAAGAAGGAGGCUAAGUAUCCCCCAUGGCACUGAGCUGUUACAGUUAAAGGGAUGUCAAACUGCAUUCAUUCGAUAGUGUAGAUCAGGCGUGGGCAAACUUGGGCCCUCCAGGUGUUUUGGACUCCGACUCCCACAAUUCCUAAUAGCCUCAGGCCUCUUCCUUUCCCCCCUCAGGCCCCCAGGAAGGGGCCUGAGGCUGUUAGGAAUUGUGGGAGUCGGAGUCCAAAACACCCGGAGAGCCAAAGUUUGCCCAUGCUGGUGUAGAUGCACCCUCAGUUAGCUCUCCGUUAUGAAUAUAUCUUAGCAUUGAAUAUAUCUUUGCUUGCAUCCUGCAGGACUUUUCAUUGUCUUUCUAUAGCAAGAGAUACAUCAUAUGGUGGGAUUACCUAUCCAUCUUGGCCAUAAUAGAGCUUUAUGCCUAAUAAAAAUAGCAGCUUGGGGAGGGUACUUUUUCAAAUGAUACCUAUAGUAGGUAAGAAAGGGUUAAUUUUCUGUUUCCCCUCCACUGACUGCAGUCUUAUCAGCCUUCCUUAUUGCAUUUCAGGAAAAACCAUCUGCAAUAAAUGCAAAAGUCUAAUUUGGCCUGAAGAUGGUUAACGGUCUUUUCCCAGGGCAAUUUCUGUUAUCUGAUCAUUGUAAAGGGUGGCCGACUGAAGA
Anolis carolinensis (green anole) is the source of this 5198-nucleotide long non-coding RNA. RefSeq lists it as uncharacterized. The transcript has 5 exons. NCBI's taxonomy places the organism in Eukaryota, Metazoa, Chordata, Lepidosauria, Squamata, Anolidae. The record is from RefSeq and is a predicted model, not a curated record.